This 1598-nucleotide ribosomal RNA is filed under the name Salmonella enterica subsp. enterica serovar Paratyphi A. RNAcentral's name for it is "16S ribosomal RNA". The record is from RNAcentral. Lineage: Bacteria; Pseudomonadati; Pseudomonadota; Gammaproteobacteria; Enterobacterales; Enterobacteriaceae.
UUCUUUAAGGUAAGGAGGUGAUCCAACCGCAGGUUCCCCUACGGUUACCUUGUUACGACUUCACCCCAGUCAUGAAUCACAAAGUGGUAAGCGCCCUCCCGAAGGUUAAGCUACCUACUUCUUUUGCAACCCACUCCCAUGGUGUGACGGGCGGUGUGUACAAGGCCCGGGAACGUAUUCACCGUGGCAUUCUGAUCCACGAUUACUAGCGAUUCCGACUUCAUGGAGUCGAGUUGCAGACUCCAAUCCGGACUACGACGCACUUUAUGAGGUCCGCUUGCUCUCGCGAGGUCGCUUCUCUUUGUAUGCGCCAUUGUAGCACGUGUGUAGCCCUGGUCGUAAGGGCCAUGAUGACUUGACGUCAUCCCCACCUUCCUCCAGUUUAUCACUGGCAGUCUCCUUUGAGUUCCCGGCCGGACCGCUGGCAACAAAGGAUAAGGGUUGCGCUCGUUGCGGGACUUAACCCAACAUUUCACAACACGAGCUGACGACAGCCAUGCAGCACCUGUCUCACGGUUCCCGAAGGCACAUUCUCAUCUCUGAAAACUUCCGUGGAUGUCAAGACCAGGUAAGGUUCUUCGCGUUGCAUCGAAUUAAACCACAUGCUCCACCGCUUGUGCGGGCCCCCGUCAAUUCAUUUGAGUUUUAACCUUGCGGCCGUACUCCCCAGGCGGUCUACUUAACGCGUUAGCUCCGGAAGCCACGCCUCAAGGGCACAACCUCCAAGUAGACAUCGUUUACGGCGUGGACUACCAGGGUAUCUAAUCCUGUUUGCUCCCCACGCUUUCGCACCUGAGCGUCAGUCUUUGUCCAGGGGGCCGCCUUCGCCACCGGUAUUCCUCCAGAUCUCUACGCAUUUCNNNNNNNNNNNNNNNNNNNNCCCCCCUCUACAAGACUCAAGCCUGCCAGUUUCGAAUGCAGUUCCCAGGUUGAGCCCGGGGAUUUCACAUCCGACUUGACAGACCGCCUGCGUGCGCUUUACGCCCAGUAAUUCCGAUUAACGCUUGCACCCUCCGUAUUACCGCGGCUGCUGGCACGGAGUUAGCCGGUGCUUCUUCUGCGGGUAACGUCAAUUGCUGCGGUUAUUAACCACAACACCUUCCUCCCCGCUGAAAGUACUUUACAACCCGAAGGCCUUCUUCAUACACGCGGCAUGGCUGCAUCAGGCUUGCGCCCAUUGUGCAAUAUUCCCCACUGCUGCCUCCCGUAGGAGUCUGGACCGUGUCUCAGUUCCAGUGUGGCUGGUCAUCCUCUCAGACCAGCUAGGGAUCGUCGCCUUGGUGAGCCGUUACCUCACCAACAAGCUAAUCCCAUCUGGGCACAUCUGAUGGCAAGAGGCCCGAAGGUCCCCCUCUUUGGUCUUGCGACGUUAUGCGGUAUUAGCCACCGUUUCCAGUAGUUAUCCCCCUCCAUCAGGCAGUUUCCCAGACAUUACUCNNNNNNNNNNNNNNNNNNNNAAAGCAGCAAGCUGCUUCCUGUUACCGUUCGACUUGCAUGUGUUAGGCCUGCCGCCAGCGUUCAAUCUGAGCCAUGAUCAAACUCUUCAAUUUAAAAGUUUGAUGCUCAAUGAAUUAAACUUCGUAAUGAAUUACGUGUUC